RNAcentral lists this ribosomal RNA (199 nucleotides) under uncultured bacterium. Its description in RNAcentral is "partial 16S ribosomal RNA". It matches the Rfam family "Bacterial small subunit ribosomal RNA", at positions 1304 to 1500 of the family's 1533-position model. The record is from RNAcentral.
GCUGCAACUCGCCUACAUGAAGUUGGAAUCGCUAGUAAUCGCGAAUCAGAAUGUCGCGGUGAAUACGUUCCCGGGUCUUGUACACACCGCCCGUCACACCAUGAGAGUCUGUAACACCCAAAGCCGGUGGGAUAACCUUUAUAGGAGUCAGCCGUCUAAGGUAGGACAGAUGAUUAGGGUGAAGUCGUAACAAGGUAGC